AGUUACAGAGAUGACCGAUAGAGGCACUGAUACCAUUGUCAUUGGAAGGAGGUGAGAGAAGGAGACAGAGAGGGUUGUAGGUGGGCUGACUCUUCACCCAUCCUAGCAGAAAGUCAGAUAAUGUCUGAGUUGGUAAAACAAGAAGCAAUAGUAUAGGCAUGUCAUUUCGAUUCAUGGCAACAACCUUCAGAAGACCUAAAGGCAGGAAUAGUAAAAAGGGAGAACCCCAGAGAAACGGACUAGGGGAAGAGGAGGGUAGGUCAGGUGACUCGCUUCUUGUUAGAACACUAAUUGUAUUUUUUUAACCAUGUGCAUGAAUUACCUAGAUUAUUUUUAAGAAAAAUGUCUUUUUCCAUAAAAAUUGGGGACUACUAUGUUUUCAAAAGAUUCCAAACAAAAUUUCUUUAAAAUGAAAUGUUCCCCAUGUGUACAAAAUGAGAUUCACUUAUAGAAGGAAAAAAUAACUCAUGCAAAGCUUUUUCAGAAACUUAGCUAUUGCACAAAGUGAAGUACUCUGUCUUUCUGAGAGCAUCUUUUUAAUGAUCGUAUAGCUUUUGUUUUUACAACCGAAAAAAGAACAAAAGCAAAAAUGAUGUGGGAAAUUGCUCCUUUUGUGCCUGAGUCCUCUAAAUGUUUAUUCAGUCAGCAGAUGGUAGACCAGCUGUUGGAUGAUGGGCUCUGAAAAUGACCUUGUUCCAUUAAGUGGUAAUAAGUUGACCAUUCUAGAAAUAUGAGAAUUUCCAGUCUAGAACUCUCGUGGAGAAUGGUUUUGUAUUUGCAGUGACAGCAUAUUGUUUCCAUGCUUGCUAAAAAUGCCAUCCACUCUUUUCUGUACUUUCAUAGAAUAUAAAAUUAAUGCAUGUGCUUACUCAUACACGUACACCAUACACUGCAGUCCCAGUUAAAAUGCACCGUAUCUUGCACCUUUAAAUAAUUGCAAGUUGACAUUGUGUAGAUUAUUCCAACAUCAGAUUGUUUAAUGUAAUAACCAACUCCAGGGCAGAUAGAGCUCACAGAGAGAAACCAACGACAUGCUCCUAGCUGUGUCCUAAUAUUUGGACAGACUCAUGUCACUAUUCUCAGUUGUUAAGAAAAGCAUGAGUUAUCACUUUCAGUUCUAUAUUUGUUUGGAAAAAAAAUCAAAUUUUAUGGGUUUUGAAAAGAGAGAUGUUUUGUAAGAGUGGGAAUUGCACAAGAGCCUUUUGCAGUUUCUUAAGAGAUCCCAGAUCACCCAGUCACUCAUUCAGCUCAAGAACAAAAGCAGUAUAGAGCAGGGUUUCUCAAUCUGUGAUGAAGGAACUUUUGGGGUUUUUUAUUUCAAAUCAAUCUCAGAAUGAUAUUUUUAUAAAACACAAAAUCACAUGCUUGGAUGUUGUGGCAAUGUCCAGCUGCCACAAGUUUCUAAACGCUUACUCUGAACUUGGCCCUUUCCAUCAAUUGGUAGCACAGAGUUUGCAGACCAGGACCAGUCUGCAGAGCCCUGAGCUCUGGGUGGGAGGACCACACGUUCAGAAACAUAGCUUUCAGGCUCCGCUUUGCCACAAGCUAAAUGAAGAGCCUUUGGGCCGGUCGCUUAACCUCACAGGGUUGCUGUGAGGACCCAAGGAGGUUUUAUAAAUGAAAGCUUUGUGAACAGUGAAAACUAUAUUCAUAUUAGUUAUUAUUCUUAACCUCUCCAGACCUCAGUUUCAAUUUGACUUAAAGAAAGUUGAAUGAGGUGUCCUUUAUAGCACUUUAAACUUUAAAGAUUCUGUACAUUGAUGCAUUGGUUUAAAUAAAGCAAGAGGGUGGACAGUGUGUCCCUACACUGCCAAGAGGUUUCUGAGGAACUGGGCAUAGAGGGAAUUGUGCCUGGGCUGGCCUGUCUCCUCAUCUUUGGUUCCUCUCGCUGAGGCCUGUGGUAACCGAUAAGAACACGUCAGAACAAAGGCUGCUGUUGGACACUUGCAGGUCCCACGCGGAAGAGAAAGUGAGGUCCCACAUCCCCCAGCCCAGUCCCCUCAGGGAGGCCUUCCAG
RNAcentral lists this long non-coding RNA (2017 nucleotides) under Equus caballus (horse). RNAcentral's name for it is "lncRNA (ENSECAG00000050835.1)". The record is from RNAcentral. Lineage: Eukaryota; Metazoa; Chordata; Mammalia; Perissodactyla; Equidae.